RNAcentral lists this transfer RNA (71 nucleotides) under Camelus bactrianus (Bactrian camel). It matches the Rfam family "tRNA". Rfam says of the family: Transfer RNA (tRNA) molecules are approximately 80 nucleotides in length. Their secondary structure includes four short double-helical elements and three loops (D, anti-codon, and T loops). The record is from Rfam by way of RNAcentral. Lineage: Eukaryota; Metazoa; Chordata; Mammalia; Artiodactyla; Camelidae. RNAcentral also lists the same sequence under 2 other names.
AGGGAAAUAGCUCAGUGGUAGAGCGCUGCUUAGCAUGCAUGAGGUCCUGGGUUCAAUCCCUAGUAUCUCCA